Long non-coding RNA from Peromyscus eremicus (cactus mouse), 1253 nucleotides. RefSeq lists it as uncharacterized. The record is from RefSeq and is a predicted model, not a curated record. Lineage: Eukaryota; Metazoa; Chordata; Mammalia; Rodentia; Cricetidae. The transcript is spliced from 5 exons.
UCAUGACUCAGAGGACAAAGCUCUCACCUGAUUCCAGAGCUGACGUCAUAAAGCAGCUAGGCAUUCAGGGCCAAGUCCCUGAGCUGUGCUCUGUAAGGCAAUUGGGCAUCACACCUGGCUGGUACUCAGGGUCCAACAGGAGGUCAGAGCUGAGGCUCUUGGAACAACUAGGAAAGAGGAAAUGGCUUACAGAACACCACGGUUUAGAUGGAUCUGGAUUUGGAGGUCCUCAUUGCCGGUGAGGAAGGCAGAAGGGUUUUAAAAAUUCCUGAUGGCCACUUCGCACUGCAGACAGCUUAAAUUAAAAUGUGAAGGAAGUCAAUGCGGUGAUGAUUCCUGUCCUUCCCCACCAAAAGAAUCUAAUGAGCGGAAAAGACAGAAACCCUGAACAACUGCAGCGCUCCAAGCAUGGACUAACCAGUGGGCGGCACUCUGGAAAUGACUAAUGUUGUACCUGCUCACUCACUAAGCACAACACCUCAGACAGGAAGGACGUUUUGCUGUUUGCAAACCAUCUCACACAAGUCAUUUAACUGAUCCUUACAGUGUCCUGGCAGAAAAUACAUGUCAUAUGUACAAGGGGCACCUUGACUGGCCAGGAUCAGACCAUGAUUUCACACAAUUCCAAGGAACUGAAGAGACCCGAAAAAGAUUGCAGCUUCUCCUUUGUUACCCAACAGCGGCAGAACCCCGAGUGGCCUGAGGGCCCCCUGGUUAGCCAGCACUGCCGAUUCUAAAGGAAAAGGCAAGGUGGAUGCUUAACUAUCGCCUUCAAUAACUCAUUCGCAGAGUAGAGAAACAAGAGCUACUUCUGAAGAUCGAGGUACCUCACAUGAUCCUUAAUAAAGAAUGUUUAAAGAAAAUGGAAUGAGUGACAAAAGGAGAGAAGACAGCAGCCACCUAAACUCUCACCCACCAAACCAAGCAUUGACUGUUCCAGCACACACAGGAUUGUGACAUGUCCUGUCUCUAGAAGCACAACAGUGAACAUGCUAGAAGUUUCUGGAACUCUAGAGAAGGACCCAGAACUCCCAAGAGUCAAGGCCUGGAAGCUUCUUUGGAACAAUCUUUAAAGUUUCUAGAUUAGAAAGCUUUCCAAAUAAAAGUGAAGUACUUGGAAGGAUGUAAAAGAAAGGCUGGCAAACACUGACCCGUGAAACCUAACAACUCAGGUGAGAGUGGAUGAAGACUGUCUGGAGAGGAACAGCUUUCUGCAAAGGUAGCUGUGACUUUUUCCAGAGUAGAUGGUAAAC